CCUACGGGAGGCAGCAGUGGGGAAUAUUGGACAAUGGGGGGAACCCUGAUCCAGCGACGCCGCGUGAGUGAAGAAGUAUUUCGGUAUGUAAAGCUCUAUCAGCAGGGAAGAAAAUGACGGUACCUGACUAAGAAGCCCCGGCUAACUACGUGCCAGCAGCGGCGGUAAUACGUAGGGGGCAAGCGUUAUCCGGAUUUAGUGGGUGUAAAGGGAGCGUAGACGGUGCAGCAAGUCUGAUGUGAAAGGUCGGGGCGCAACCACGGGACUGCAUUGGAAACUGUUUAACUGGAGUACCGGAGAGGUAAGCGGAAUUCCUAGUGUAGCGGUGAAAUGCGUAGAUAUUAGGAGGAACACCAGUGGCGAAGGCAGCUUACUGGACUGUAACUGACGUUGAGGCUCGAAAGCGUGGGGAGCAAACAGGAUUAGAUACCCUUGUAGUC
RNAcentral lists this ribosomal RNA (440 nucleotides) under uncultured bacterium. RNAcentral describes it as "partial 16S ribosomal RNA". It matches the Rfam family "Bacterial small subunit ribosomal RNA", at positions 338 to 795 of the family's 1533-position model. The record is from RNAcentral.